GAGGGUAUAGCUCAAGUGGGAGAGCGCAUGUUUAGCAUGCAUGAGGUCCUGGGUUCAAUCCUCAGUACUUCCU
Molecule: transfer RNA, 73 nt
Filed under: Camelus ferus (Wild Bactrian camel)
Lineage: Eukaryota; Metazoa; Chordata; Mammalia; Artiodactyla; Camelidae
Rfam family: tRNA
About the family: Transfer RNA (tRNA) molecules are approximately 80 nucleotides in length.
Source: Rfam by way of RNAcentral